This 74-nucleotide transfer RNA is filed under the name Candidatus Zixiibacteriota bacterium. RNAcentral's name for it is "tRNA-Val". It matches the Rfam family "tRNA". From Rfam's summary of the family: Transfer RNA (tRNA) molecules are approximately 80 nucleotides in length. Their secondary structure includes four short double-helical elements and three loops (D, anti-codon, and T loops). Lineage: Bacteria; Pseudomonadati; Candidatus Zixiibacteriota. The record is from RNAcentral.
GGGCAGUUGGCUCAGCUGGUUAGAGCAUCUGCCUUACACGCAGAGGGUCACUGGUUCGAAUCCAGUACUGCCCA